AAUCGGGAGAGAUUACUUAAAUGUAGCGCCGAAGGAGCAACCACCCCGGAAACUCUCAGGCAAAAGGACCGUA
Molecule: non-coding RNA, 73 nt
Filed under: uncultured Candidatus Pelagibacter sp.
Lineage: Bacteria; Pseudomonadati; Pseudomonadota; Alphaproteobacteria; Candidatus Pelagibacterales; Candidatus Pelagibacteraceae
Description: Glycine riboswitch
Rfam family: Glycine riboswitch aptamer
About the family: This family represents the bacterial glycine riboswitch. Glycine riboswitches usually consist of two metabolite-binding aptamers domains with similar structures in tandem.
Source: RNAcentral